CACCUGUCCGUCUCCUGAGUGCUGGGAUUAAAAGCUGUGUGCCACCACCUCCUGGCUACUACUAGUCUUUUAAAGAAAGUUAUUUUCAUGUUUUCAGGCUUUUGGCCCCAAACACCAUUAUCCCAUCUUCGGGUGUAAAACAACUAUAUAGUUUAGUUCAUUGUGUCAGACAACCCACUCAGCCACUCUCUCAUUUACACUUCCUCACUCAGCAUCUUUACUCUGAUUUUUAUAGACAGAGGAGAGCAGAAUUUGAACCAUAAAUGAUGCAGCUGCCCCACCCCGCCCCGCCUCGCCCUCUGCUGGUCAAAAGGUGGCGUUGCUGGCUCACCGUUGUUUGUGUAGAACUGUCCUGCAACGUCCAUUCCACCCCAUUUCCUUGUAUGGUGGACCUCGGGCUAGAGAGAUAGAUGGUUCAUUGCAGAUGGUUCCAUCCCAGCACUCACAUGGUGGCUCACAAGUGUCUUCAAAGCCAAUUCUGGGGAUCCAGUGCUCUCCAAAGACACAGGCCUACAUUAAGGUGGCCUGAGCCUCUCCCAGCUCAUGUGAGACAAGCACAGGACACAGAAGCUUAAAGACCAUGCUGGAAACACCCAGCAAGACUGGUUCCCUUAUCUUCUGAUGGCGGCGCCUCCAGCCUCAGCCUCCCUGACAUGGGUUUGCUCAAGUCCCUUCCACAGUGUUGUUUCUCCACCUCUCCCUGCAGCUGCUUUUGGAUCAGCUCUGUCAUGACAGCUGACAGCCUCCUGGGGGUGGAUCGCUGGGCUUCAAGCUCUGGAAGGCACCGAGCUCCCCAUAUUGGCCCUGCAGGAAGGACAGAACUUCUAUGCAGCCCUUUGAGCACCACAGCCUCUCCUCAUCCAGAAGAGCCACUCCCUAGGAAGACCCCAGAUCCUCCAUCCCAAACACUCUCACUUAUUGGUUGAAAAGUAGUAUCCCCUGGAGCAUGCAGCUGGGGAGCCCUGCUUCACAGUCAUCACCCUGGGGAGCCAACUAUUCAUCGCCCUGUGCUCUCAGAGCUUCUGGAAGGAUCCAUAAAUCACUCACAUGUCAAUUGUGCACUUAGUAAAAAAAAAUUUUUUCCUCCGAGACAGGGUUUCUCUGUGGCUGUGGAGGCUGUCCUGGAACUCGCUUUGUAGACCAGGCUGGCCUCGAACUCACA
Molecule: long non-coding RNA, 1162 nt
Filed under: Cricetulus griseus (Chinese hamster)
Lineage: Eukaryota; Metazoa; Chordata; Mammalia; Rodentia; Cricetidae
Description: lncRNA (ENSCGRG00015038859.1)
Source: RNAcentral